GCUGUUCCAAAGGAUGGGAUGCAUGAGGU
This 29-nucleotide non-coding RNA is filed under the name Mus musculus (house mouse). RNAcentral also lists the same sequence under 1 other name. Lineage: Eukaryota; Metazoa; Chordata; Mammalia; Rodentia; Muridae. The record is from RNAcentral.